RNAcentral lists this unclassified non-coding RNA (197 nucleotides) under rhizosphere metagenome. RNAcentral's name for it is "partial ribosomal RNA internal transcribed spacer region". The record is from RNAcentral.
GUAGGUGAACCUGCGGAAGGAUCAUUAUCGUAGGGCUUCGGCCCUGUCGAGAUAGAACCCUUGCCUUUUUAAGUACCUUCUGUUUCCUCGGCAGGCUCGCCUGCCAAUGGGGACCACAAAAAACACUUUGCAGUACCUGUAAUAGUCUGAAAAACAAACAAAAAUUAAAACUUUCAACAACGGAUCUCUUGGUUCUG